This 313-nucleotide long non-coding RNA is filed under the name Mus musculus (house mouse). RNAcentral describes it as "alncRNA-EC137". Lineage: Eukaryota; Metazoa; Chordata; Mammalia; Rodentia; Muridae. The record is from RNAcentral.
GAGUAUCCUCCGCGCUAGUGUAGGCUGUCGGUCCUCGGGGCACCACAGGGCAUGGCAGGAAGGUUGUCCUAUCACCCAGUCAUGGGUUAUGCAGAAGCACUCAAGAGCACUAGCCUUGCAAAACUACAGUUCCAAGGACUGCAUGUGAUAUUUGAAAUGUAUGUUUUAUGAACUCUUAAAGAAAUACCACACAUAAUCUCUGCUUAUAUUGUAACAUACUAUAAACAACUGGUAUAAUGUUUACCUCAUGGGUGCUGUUUGAACCAUAGAAGCUCUAUCCUUCAGAAUAAUUUAAAAUUAUUUUUAAAAUUAA